GGCAGCAGUUCGGUUCUAUAUAAGGGCGGUCGGCUCAUCCUCCAUCUCUUGAAGAGAAAGGGGGUGAGCAUGUGACAGUAUCAGAGGCCUUGCAACUCAUGGUGUCUUUCGGCAUUCUCGUAGUGGCCAUUCUGUCAUCAAACGACAAAAAAAAGUAAGAUCGCCCUUGAUUCCCACACCAAGACGAUCUUACUUUUUAAUUGGGAUCUAAAAAUAGAGCCGACUCCUUUUUAUGGAGCCUCUCUGUUGCUUCCGGGAGAUGUUGCCGCAUCUUCCG
RNAcentral lists this small RNA (277 nucleotides) under Bacillus licheniformis. Its description in RNAcentral is "BsrG". It matches the Rfam family "BsrG". From Rfam's summary of the family: bsrE, bsrG and bsrH pair through intermolecular interactions with antisense sRNAs. Lineage: Bacteria; Bacillati; Bacillota; Bacilli; Caryophanales; Bacillaceae. The record is from RNAcentral. RNAcentral also lists the same sequence under 2 other names.